Molecule: ribosomal RNA, 497 nt
Filed under: uncultured bacterium
Lineage: Bacteria
Description: partial 16S ribosomal RNA
Rfam family: Bacterial small subunit ribosomal RNA
Source: RNAcentral
GAUGAACGCUGGCGGCGUGCCUAAUACAUGCAAGUCGAGCGAACAGAUGAGGAGCUUGCUCCUCUGACGUUAGCGGCGGACGGGUGAGUAACACGUGGAUAACCUACCUAUAAGACUGGGAUAACUUCGGGAAACCGGAGCUAAUACCGGAUAAUAUAUUGAACCGCAUGGUUCAAUAGUGAAAGACGGUUUCGCUGUCACUUAUAGAUGGAUCCGCGCCGCAUUAGCUAGUUGGUAAGGUAACGGCUUACCAAGGCAACGAUGCGUAGCCGACCUGAGAGGGUGAUCGGCCACACUGGAACUGAGACACGGUCCAGACUCCUACGGGAGGCAGCAGUAGGGAAUCUUCCGCAAUGGGCGAAAGCUUGACGGAGCAACGCCGCGUGAGUGAUGAAGGUCUUCGGAUCGUAAAACUCUGUUAUUAGGGAAGAACAAAUGUGUAAGUAACUAUGCACGUCUUGACGGUACCUAAUCAGAAAGCCACGGCUAACUACGUG